RNAcentral lists this long non-coding RNA (567 nucleotides) under Coffea arabica (coffee). RNAcentral's name for it is "long non-coding RNA (CARA_LNC002028)". The record is from RNAcentral. Lineage: Eukaryota; Viridiplantae; Streptophyta; Magnoliopsida; Gentianales; Rubiaceae.
CGACAACUUAAUCGAAAAGAUAAUAUCUUACACUUGAUAGAUAAAAGGAUGUCUCCAUGUUUUUUACAUAUUCAGUCUCUCCGAAAGAGAGUGUUCUUAUCAAUCCCCUCCUAAAGCUACAAGUGAAAGCUCUAUUACAGUUCCAGGAGAGGCUUUCACGACGAUUUAGCCUCCUCUGCAGAUGACCCUCCUAGCAGCUUCCAAACAGACAGCUGUCCUGUAGCAUCACCAGUGAAAAACAGGUCACCACAACCUACGGCAAUGGCCUCUAUUACAGUUCCAGGAGAGGCUUUCACGACGAUUUAGCCCUCCUCUGCAGAUGACCCUCCAAGCAGCUUCCAAACAGAUAACUGUCCUGUAGCAUCACCAGUGAAAAACAGGUCACCACAACCUACGGCAAUGGCCUCAACUUCUCUCUUAGCAAAUACUCUGCCUCUUUCAGAAAAUCUGUAGAAGUUCAAAACAAUGAAUCCAUUUAUCAGAUGAAGGAACAUCAACAAAAUCUUUCCACCCAAAAAAAACAAAUAAAUCAAGAAUCUAUGAACGUGACGACACUCACGAUGGCAG